This 429-nucleotide ribosomal RNA is filed under the name Chloroflexota bacterium. RNAcentral describes it as "Chloroflexi bacterium partial 16S ribosomal RNA". It matches the Rfam family "Bacterial small subunit ribosomal RNA", at positions 355 to 776 of the family's 1533-position model. Lineage: Bacteria; Bacillati; Chloroflexota. The record is from RNAcentral.
UGGGGAAUAUUGCACAAUGGGCGCAAGCCUGAUGCAGCCAUGCCGCGUGUGUGAAGAAGGCCUUCGGGUUGUAAAGCACUUUCAUCGGGGAGGAAGGCGGUGAGGUUAAUAACCUCACCGAUUGACGUUACCCGCAGAAGAAGCACCGGCUAACUCCGUGCCAGCAGCCGCGGUAAUACGGAGGGUGCAAGCGUUAAUCGGAAUUACUGGGCGUAAAGCGCACGCAGGCGGUCUGUCAAGUCGGAUGUGAAAUCCCCGGGCUCAACCUGGGAACUGCAUUCGAAACUGGCAGGCUAGAGUCUUGUAGAGGGGGGUAGAAUUCCAGGUGUAGCGGUGAAAUGCGUAGAGAUCUGGAGGAAUACCGGUGGCGAAGGCGGCCCCCUGGACAAAGACUGACGCUCAGGUGCGAAAGCGUGGGGAGCAAACAGG